Molecule: ribosomal RNA, 549 nt
Filed under: uncultured bacterium
Lineage: Bacteria
Description: bacterial SSU rRNA
Rfam family: Bacterial small subunit ribosomal RNA
Source: RNAcentral
UAGGGAAUCUUCGGCAAUGGACGGAAGUCUGACCGAGCAACGCCGCGUGAGUGAAGAAGGUUUUCGGAUCGUAAAGCUCUGUUGUAAGAGAAGAACGAGUGUGAGAGUGGAAAGUUCACACUGUGACGGUAACUUACCAGAAAGGGACGGCUAACUACGUGCCAGCAGCCGCGGUAAUACGUAGGUCCCGAGCGUUAUCCGGAUUUAUUGGGCGUAAAGCGAGCGCAGACGGUUAGAUAAGUCUGAAGUUAAAGGCUGUGGCUUAACCAUAGUACGCUUUGGAAACUGUUUAACUUGAGUGCAGAAGGGGAGAGUGGAAUUCCAUGUGUAGCGGUGAAAUGCGUAGAUAUAUGGAGGAACACCGGUGGCGAAAGCGGCUCUCUGGUCUGUAACUGACGCUGAGGCUCGAAAGCGUGGGGAGCAAACAGGAUUAGAUACCCUGGUAGUCCACGCCGUAGACGAUGAGUGCUAGGUGUUGGGUCCUUUCCGGGACUCAGUGCCGCAGCUAACGCAUUAAGCACUCCGCCUGGGGAGUACGACCGCAAGGUU